This 576-nucleotide ribosomal RNA is filed under the name uncultured bacterium. RNAcentral describes it as "bacterial SSU rRNA". It matches the Rfam family "Bacterial small subunit ribosomal RNA", at positions 338 to 916 of the family's 1533-position model. The record is from RNAcentral.
CCUACGGGAGGCAGCAGUGGGGAAUAUUGCGCAAUGGACGAAAGUCUGACGCAGCGACGCCGCGUGUGGGAUGACGGUCUUCGGAUUGUAAACCACUGUCAGGAGGGACGAAUACGCCGCAAGGCGGGUGACGGUACCUCCAAAGGAAGCACCGGCUAACUCCGUGCCAGCAGCCGCGGUAAUACGGAGGGUGCGAGCGUUGUCCGGAAUCACUGGGCGUAAGGGGCGCGUAGGCGGCCUGAUAAGUAGGGGGUGAAAUCCUGCGGCUUAACCGCAGGGCUGCCUUCUAAACUGUCGGGCUCGAGCACAGUAGAGGCAGGUGGAAUUCCCGGUGUAGCGGUGGAAUGCGUAGAGAUCGGGAAGAACAUCAGUGGCGAAGGCGGCCUGCUGGGCUGUUGUUGACGCUGAGGCGCGACAGCGUGGGGAGCAAACAGGAUUAGAUACCCUGGUAGUCCACGCCGUAAACGAUGGGCACUAGGCGUCGGGGGGAGCGACCCUCCCGGUGCCGUCGCUAACGCAGUAAGUGCCCCGCCUGGGGAGUACGGCCGCAAGGCUGAAACUCAAAGGAAUUGACGG